UGGGGGAGUAUUGCACAAUGGGGGGAACCCGUGAUGCAGCGACGCCGCGUGGGUGAAGAAGCGCCUCGGCGCGUAAAGCCCUGUCAGCAGGGAAGAAAAAUGACGGUACCUGAAGAAGAAGCCCGGCUAACUACGUGCC
This 139-nucleotide ribosomal RNA is filed under the name uncultured bacterium. RNAcentral's name for it is "partial 16S ribosomal RNA". It matches the Rfam family "Bacterial small subunit ribosomal RNA", at positions 354 to 509 of the family's 1533-position model. The record is from RNAcentral.